This 278-nucleotide long non-coding RNA is filed under the name Mytilus galloprovincialis (Mediterranean mussel). The record is from RNAcentral. Lineage: Eukaryota; Metazoa; Mollusca; Bivalvia; Mytilida; Mytilidae.
CCGGGUCACCGGACACAUUUUUUAAACUAGAUACCCCAAUGAUGAUUGUGGCCAAGUUUGGUUUAAUUUGGCCCAGUAGUUUCAGAGGAGAAGAUUUUUGUAAAAGUUAACGACGACGACGGACGACGACGGACGCCGGACACCAAGUGAUGAGAAAAGCUCACUUGGCCUUUUAGGCCAGGUGAGUUAAAAAGGGGGGUUACACUGCAUUUACAGUCAAUAGUCAAUACUGUGAUCAGGUACAUUUCCUGACAUGUAUACCAAUAAUAUGUGUGUUU